RNAcentral lists this ribosomal RNA (370 nucleotides) under uncultured bacterium. Its description in RNAcentral is "bacterial SSU rRNA". It matches the Rfam family "Bacterial small subunit ribosomal RNA", at positions 527 to 896 of the family's 1533-position model. The record is from RNAcentral.
GUAGGGAGCAAGCGUUAUCCGGAUUUAUUGGGUGUAAAGGGUGCGUAGACGGGAAGGUAAGUUAGUUGUGAAAUCCCUCGGCUCAACUGAGGAACUGCGACUAAAACUGCUUUUCUUGAGUGCUGGAGAGGAAAGUGGAAUUCCUAGUGUAGCGGUGAAAUGCGUAGAUAUUAGGAGGAACACCAGUGGCGAAGGCGACUUUCUGGACAGUAACUGACGUUGAGGCACGAAAGUGUGGGGAGCAAACAGGAUUAGAUACCCUGGUAGUCCACACCGUAAACGAUGGAUACUAGGUGUAGGGGAUAUUAAGUCUUCUGUGCCGUCGCAAACGCAGUAAGUAUCCCACCUGGGGAGUACGGCCGCAAGGUUG